This 29-nucleotide non-coding RNA is filed under the name Homo sapiens (human). The record is from RNAcentral. Lineage: Eukaryota; Metazoa; Chordata; Mammalia; Primates; Hominidae.
UCUGCCACAAAUAACAAACCAUUUGGCCA